CCUACGGGAGGCUGCAGUGGGGAAUAUUGGGCAAUGGGCGCAAGCCUGACCCAGCAACGCCGCGUGAAGGAAGAAGGCUUUCGGGUUGUAAACUUCUUUUUUCAGGGACGAAGCAAGUGACGGUACCUGACGAAUAAGCCACGGCUAACUACGUGCCAGCAGCAGCGGUAAUACGUAGGUGGCAAGCGUUAUCCGGAUUUACUGGGUGUACAGGGCGUGUAGGCGGGACUGCAAGUCAGAUGUGAAAACCACGGGCUCAACCUGUGGCCUGCAGUUGAAACUGUAGUUCUUGAGUACUGGAGAGGCAGACGGAAUUCCUAGUGUAGCGGUGAAAGGCGUAGAUAUUAGGAGGAACACCAGUGGCGAAGGCGGUCUGCUGGACAGCAACUGACGCUGAGGCGCGAAAGCGUGGGGAGCAAACAGGAGUAGAUACCCCAGUAGUC
Molecule: ribosomal RNA, 443 nt
Filed under: uncultured bacterium
Lineage: Bacteria
Description: partial 16S ribosomal RNA
Rfam family: Bacterial small subunit ribosomal RNA
Source: RNAcentral